This 460-nucleotide ribosomal RNA is filed under the name uncultured bacterium. Its description in RNAcentral is "partial 16S ribosomal RNA". It matches the Rfam family "Bacterial small subunit ribosomal RNA", at positions 338 to 795 of the family's 1533-position model. The record is from RNAcentral.
CCUACGGGAGGCAGCAGUGAGGAAUAUUGGUCAAUGGCCGGGAGGCUGAACCAGCCAAGUCGCGUGAGGGAAGACGGCCCUACGGGUUGUAAACCUCUUUUGUCAGGGAGCAAGGUGCAGGUCGUGACCUGCUGUGAGUGUAUCUGAUGAAAAAGCAUCGGCUAACUCCGUGCCAGCAGCCGCGGUAAUACGGAGGAUGCGAGCGUUAUCCGGAUUUAUUGGGUUUAAAGGGGGCGCAGGCGGGUGGAAAAGUCAGUCGGUAAAGUCGGGGGCUCAACCCCGCCCCCGCCGUUGAAACUGUCUCCCUUGAGUGCGGUAAGGGUAGGCGGAAUGCGUGGUGUAGCGGUGAAAUGCAUAGAUAGCACGCAGAACUCCGAUCGCGAAGGCAGCCUACCAGCGCGCAACUGACGCUCAUGCACGAAAGCGUGGGUAUCGAACAGGAUUAGAUACCCCAGUAGUC